Molecule: transfer RNA, 72 nt
Filed under: Cancer pagurus (edible crab)
Lineage: Eukaryota; Metazoa; Arthropoda; Malacostraca; Decapoda; Cancridae
Description: tRNA-Thr
Rfam family: tRNA
About the family: Transfer RNA (tRNA) molecules are approximately 80 nucleotides in length.
Source: RNAcentral
AGUUUUAAUAGUUUAAAAAAUAAAAACUUUGGUCUUGUAAAUCAAAAAUGAAAUCUAACUUCUUAAAACUUC